GCGCGCGUGGCGGAAUUGGCAGACGCGCCAGACUUAGGAUCUGGUUCCGCAAGGAGUGGAGGUUCGAGUCCUCUCGCGCGCACCA
RNAcentral lists this transfer RNA (85 nucleotides) under Verrucomicrobiota bacterium. RNAcentral's name for it is "tRNA-Leu". It matches the Rfam family "tRNA". From Rfam's summary of the family: Transfer RNA (tRNA) molecules are approximately 80 nucleotides in length. Their secondary structure includes four short double-helical elements and three loops (D, anti-codon, and T loops). RNAcentral also lists the same sequence under 3 other names. The record is from RNAcentral. Lineage: Bacteria; Pseudomonadati; Verrucomicrobiota.